AACCUAGCACACCUGCGGUGUGUACCUGCGGAGGGAUCAUUACACAAUACAAUAUGAAGGCUGUCCGCAGCUGGAGUAUUUUAUUACCCUUGUCUUUUGCGCACUUGUUGUUUCCUGGGCGGGUUCGCUCGCCACCAGGACCACCAAACAAACCUUUUUUAUGCAGUUGCAAUCAGCGUCAGUACAAACAAUGUAAAUCAUUUACAACUUUUAACAAUGGAUCUCAGAUCGGAAGAGCAC
Molecule: unclassified non-coding RNA, 240 nt
Filed under: soil metagenome
Description: partial contains 5.8S ribosomal RNA, internal transcribed spacer 2, and large subunit ribosomal RNA
Source: RNAcentral